CAUAGAUGCGCCAGGCCAAAGGCACCAUGAUUGUGUGACUUGGACUUCAGUGGAUAUAAACAGCAAGCUCCGGGGCCUGUGUGCUGAGCUGUGUUUGGAAAGCUUAUUAAACACUGUUGUUGCCAUAGGCUAUGGUAUGCAAUGUUUGUGCCUAACCCAAGAACAUUUAGCGCAAGGGGUGACCUUGAUAAAUGCUGUGCAAUUUAGUGCAGACCCUGACCGUGUUCUAAGGAAAAUGACCAAACCGGAAGAUGCCUGCUUAGAGCGUUAUAUUGACCGUCUAGUCCGCACAAAGAGUUACAGAACCCUGCUUAAGAAAAAAACUAUUUGUAAGAAAUCUAAAAGGAUUAAGUUAGAGAAUGGUGAGGGGACAAACAUGCGAUAUAAAACUUGGUAGCUGUAAUUUUUUUUUAAAAGGGGGGCUUGUGACUAUUUGUGUUUUGUUAGAAGGCCUUUGGCCUUUAAGUGCGCUAAAAAGUUUUAAUAAAGCAUUUUGGUUUUGGUUUUAAGAAGCUGUAUGUUUUUUAAAUAAAAAAAAUAAAUUGUUUGUGAGAAUUAGCUCUUGUGUUUUGUGUGUAGCAAAAAGCUGAAAUGUAUGUUGUGGUGGGGAAGGGGAAAAAAUCCUAAAAAUGUGCUUACAAUAAAACAACCAAGGCUAGUUCAGACAUGUGUCUGAGUACAAGAAAGUUAAUAUGGAGAUAUACUUAUCUCAUAGAACUGCCUUUACUAGCAGGGCCAAAUAUUGAUUUGAGAAUAUUGAGAACCAGAGCCCUAAGUGGUUCUCUUAAGGCUUGAACUCACAGCCCUGGGCUUAGCAGGCCAAUGCUUAAACCACUGAGCCAUCCUUAGUCUGUUAAACUGAAUGGGUUUUAACCAUACACACACACACACACACACACACCCACCCAAACUGGUUUCACUCCCAAAUUACAAAAGGGAAUGCUAUGGGUGGGGUCAUUACAUUAACCUGUUAGCAAACUAUGUUGAAGUUUUGUUUAACAAUGGGCUAAGAGGGGAUAAAAACCUCAGGUAUGCAGCACUUUGUCCUUUUUCAACUUGGAUAGCUGCUGGACUGCAAAAAGAGUGUGAUCUGUUAGCAUGGAACCAGGAACUUUAAACUGCAUUUUACCACCAGGCCAAGGCUUAAGCACACAUGAGGGGGAACAGAACAACCAUGUGCCUGCAACACUUUAUCCCAUAGUGAAAGGGAACUUUUUUUUACUGUGUAUAAUGUGAUGGGUUUAAGGCCCUGUGGG
Non-coding RNA from Chrysemys picta bellii (western painted turtle), 1256 nucleotides. The record is from RefSeq and is a predicted model, not a curated record. NCBI's taxonomy places the organism in Eukaryota, Metazoa, Chordata, Testudines, Emydidae.